Long non-coding RNA from Brassica rapa (field mustard), 2838 nucleotides. RefSeq lists it as uncharacterized. The record is from RefSeq and is a predicted model, not a curated record. Lineage: Eukaryota; Viridiplantae; Streptophyta; Magnoliopsida; Brassicales; Brassicaceae.
UAAACUCUCGCUCAGAUGGGUAUUUUUUUUUCUAAUGACUAAAAUAUAGAAAUAGUCACAAUGUUCAAGUAUUCGCACUUGCUCUACCAACAAAACUAAGCACAUGCUUUUUGUACUCGUUAGCAACCCAUUGAUCAGUGAGACGACAGUUAGUAUAAUAACAAAAAUCAGGGACAAUGGUAUCACUUUUCAAUACGUCUGUUUGCCAUAAUACGUUGAGUUAUGUGCUUUUCAUUAUAAGUGUUGUAAUUCGCAUGACCUCACCAACAACAUCUAAUAAGUAUGUAGCAUCUACUUGCAGGAAAUGUUUAAAGAGUGCAAAUAAAGGGGUUUCGAGAUUAGUCUAAUACAACAUACCGGGCAAAUCGGUGUUGGUGGUUCACCUACAACAUCAACUGGUCGUAAUUGGAAAACAUGAAAAGCUCCAGCGGGAUUAAUUCCCUGGUACCAGCCUUCAGCUCAGAGAAACGUAGCUCUUGAUUCAAGAUUGUCGGGGUUUCAGAAAGCGAGUGCUUGUUUAAUAUUCAAGCAGGACGAAAAAGCUUUGCCUCGAAGGUCUCCGACGUUCUACAUAUCUAUACCAUGAGAGAGUUUCAGGAGGAGUAAAGAGGCAUUGAACCGGAUAUACUGGAGAGCGUUGGUGAGUGCCAUUACUGUCUGAUUUGAGGUGUGCAUCGUAAGAUGGUGAGAUGCCGUAUUUAUAGCUGAGGAUUAAGCCGGGUACGGUGGAAUAUGAAGAGGUGUAUUGAUUGAACAAUUCAAGUGGAAGGAGUGGAUUAAAAGGGGUGAGGUGGAGUUAAGUUGCAGAGUUAUUGAAAUUGGAGGCGUUAAGGAUUUUGAACAGGCUCGAAUCUCUGCGUCUCGCGGUCGAGGAUGAGAAGGUAGAAGACGAUACGGGAAAACCCUAAGCUCCAUCAGUUCAUAUGAGCGGGCUUCAAAAUGGGCUGUGAAAUAAAAACUAAAUAGCCAUUACAUUAGCCGAAGCCCAAAUCGAACAAGAAAAAAACAGAAAAAAAAACGCAACCAAUUAAAUGGCGACACGUGUCAACAAAUGCCCACCCCUAAAGAGGGACGUGGAAGGCUAAGGUGAGAGAAAAACCUGUUUUAUUAUUAUAGAUAAUGAACUAUGUGGGUAUACAAUUAAAGUAUUUUCUGAAUAUAAGAACUAUGUAGAUGGCUAAUUAAUUUGUUACCUUCAUCAUUAUAUUCUAAGUUGAUUAUCUGAACAGAAACCAUACAUACAAUCUCACGAGUAGAGAUACUCAUACUCAUAUGAGGUAUCUGGAUUACCUGGAGUAUCAAAAAGAAGAAAAAAAAGUUAACAUGUUUGACAUAUCAGUGGCUAUUAUAUAAUAAUAUAAUGAACUAUGUGGGUAUACAAUUAAAGUAUUUUGUGAAUAUAAGAACUACGUAGAUAGCUAAUUAAUUUGUUACCUUCAUCAUUAUAUUCUAAGUUGAUUAUAAGAGAAAACAUACAUACAAUCUCACGAGUAGGGAUACUCAUACUACAAAACAUUAAUGAAAUUGAAUGUUCACAUUGCCAUUGUAAGGUUAUCUCCUCGACUUCACUUGGUGGAAUGAUUAACUCUUAUCAACGCUUAGCAAAACUGAGGAAAUCAAGACUUGAGAGCAAAAUACUAUCUACAACCGUUCAUUGGAAACACAGUAAGUCAAAGAUAACUACAACAGUCAUAUCUUUUAGGAGUCUAUAAAUGAAAGCGAAGGACUUUUAUGUGAGAUUUCUACUUUUUUGCGAUAUUGAACUAUGUAUAUUGGUUUGAACGUAUAGUACACCCGCCAAAAAACGUCACACAACAUUAUAUUGCUAUAAUACGACUGCACCAUGUGUUAGCGAGUGCUUGCUAACAACAAGAAAAGAAAUGAUAGCGAUUGUUUAAACUCACUUUGAUAGUCAACUUGUUAAAUAUAGUUUCAACAAGCGGGCAGCCAAAGGCAAGUUCAAGUAACGUCUGCCAGCUCCAUAGGUCAUCUCCUACAUAGAAUAAGCCAUUAUCGCUUGAGAAAACACCCUUUUGCCUAGCUCCCCCCAUGAGUCAACCUGUAAUCAUCUAUUAUCUGAAGGCAACCCCAGUGCGAAAUUGAGUAUGGUCCCCAACAACAGCAAACGGACUGUUAUUCUCAAAGUGAACAAUAACAGGUGCGUAAGAGCACGAUCCUCAUAUGGUCCAUAUGUUAUCUCUUUCCCAUCUCGGUUUACAGGUGUGUAAGAAAGUUGUCUGUUAAAAAAAAAAAAAAAAAAAAAGAAAGUUGUCUGUUGCUUAAUAUGGUAUGGUGACAGUAUCACUGCACUAUCAAGGAAUGCGUCAUUGUGUAUAGGUAUAGCACUUCAAUUGUAACAGUUUCACCCAGGCCAAAGGGGCUAGCUCUGAUUUGCUCCAAUAACAACAAAAAUGUUGAGAGACUUCAGCCUUACUAAAAGCAAAGGAAAUAUUUACUCUUUUACAAUCUACCUAGUAGUUAUAUUUCUAAACACAAGUCAUUUUUAGAUUUCGUCUCUGUGUUUUGUUAUCAAAUCCCCAUGACUUUCACUUCAUCAGCAAUUCAGACAAUAUAAAAAAGGUUUGAUAUGUUUAUUAUCACAAAUCCAACACAAAGAAUUAACCCUUUCUCUCUUUCUUUUUCUCUUUGCUUUUACAUCAUUGAUACAUUCACCAAGACAAAUGAAACAGCCUUUCUUUCUCUCUAUUUGAAUUGCCUCACAUCUUCCAUCAUUCGCUCCCUUACCACUUUACAUGUACACAUUCAUUCUCCUACAUCCUCUUUCCCAUUCUUGCAAACCUUCUCGCUACUCCGAAUAUCACCGCCUUUGUCAACAGC